Molecule: long non-coding RNA, 1398 nt
Organism: Apis mellifera (honey bee)
Lineage: Eukaryota; Metazoa; Arthropoda; Insecta; Hymenoptera; Apidae
Exons: 2
Source: RefSeq, a predicted model, not a curated record
GACAAACUAAUUGAAUGCAUCUAAUAAAUCUGUCAGUCUAUUUAUACGCAAGCUCUUGUAAGUUAGAUAGUUGACUUGAACCAUUUUUUCUCCGAAAACUUGGUAUCAAGUGUCGACCAAAGACAGGUUGCAGAUCUGGUGCACUCUGGUUUUCUCGAAAGGAGAUGUACAUUUUGUUUGAAGGACAUGUAAAAAGAAUUGAAAUUGAAAAAGCAAAGCAAUAUCGAAUACGAAGAAUAAUGGAACCAAAAAAUGAUCAAAUAGGCUGAAUUUCGUAUCAUUUAAAUGUAUAUUACAACAUCCACGUGUAAAUGUAUACCAACGAUUGAAAAGUAAAAGAAACAGAUAGAUAUUCUGCAAUUACUCAAUAUCGGUAUAUCUCAUAUUGCAACCAAUAUGCCUCGGUAUUCAGGUAUACUAGAAUUACAGUUUAGCCAUCGUGUAAAGAAUUGUAGAAUCAUAUAUUUGAUAGAUAUAUAUAUAUAUUUACAAAGAUAUAAUAAAAUAUUAAUAAAUUCUUGAAAAAAUUUUUAAAUAAUCAUGGAUUGAUUCAUGGAUUGAUAUAAGUAUGUGAAUAAAUUGUUUUGAGAUUAUAAAGUUGUUAUUUGUUUGCAAAUAAUAAUUUGAGAAAAUUAGAAAAAACUUUUUUCGAAUAAUCAAAAAUGACAAAAAAAGACGGGGAGGAGGGAAGAAACCAAUAAGAGAGGGAAAGAAUGAAUACAAGUUACCAAGUGAACGGGAACGUAAUCGGACUAUCUUUGUUGGUUACAGUUAUUAUGCAAUUGACAUUGGCAAAGUGUAACAGUAUGAACACAGCCAACAACUAAGAUUUCAUAAGUAUCGCCGGAGGCGAAGAAGCGUUCAUAUAUGUUAUAAUUGCUGUAAGCUAACGUCAUCAAAAUGCUUUCUUCAUUCUUGUUUCUUUAAAGAUUUCUUUAGAAAUUAUUAAAUUAUUUGAUUCUUUUUAUUUAAAAUUUCUGAUAGAUAAAUGAUUGAAAUUAAUAAAUAUCAUGUAUUUUCAUCAAACAUAAAUAUAAUAAUAUACAUAAAUGUAAUAUUCAAAGAUAUGGGAUAUAAGGAAACAUAAUUAAUCGUUUCAAUAGAUUCAUUAUUAAAAAACUUUCGAUAUAAUAGAUUUCAUUUAUUUAUUAUUUUUCUAUAAAAUAAAAUAUAAUACAUCGAUAUGUUUCUACAUUUUAUUCUGAAUAAUAUCUUAUUAAUAGCACAAACUUAUAAUUCAUUGAUUGGUUGUAUUAGAAUAACAUUCUAAAUAAUUUCUAUAAUAGAUCAUUAUACCCGUUAUAUAUAUGUAUAAAUUUGAUUGUACGUAAAGUAAAGAAUCAUUUAGCGAUUCUCUAUCUUAUGAUGUAGCUGUAGGAAUGUCGGAAAAAAAAAAUA